AGAGUUUGAUCCUGGCUCAGGAUGAACGCUGGCGGUAUGCUUAACACAUGCAAGUCGAACGGGGCCAUUAGUGGCCUAGUGGCGGACGGGUGAGUAACGCGUGAGAAUCUGGCCUCAGGUCCGGGACAACCAUUGGAAACGGUGGCUAAUACCGGAUGUGCCUUAUGGUGAAAGAUUAAUUGCCUGAGGAUGAGCUCGCGUCUGAUUAGCUAGUUGGUGGGGUAAAGGCCUACCAAGGCUGCGAUCAGUAACUGGUCUGAGAGGAUGACCAGUCACACUGGGACUGAGACACGGCCCAGACUCCUACGGGAGGCAGCAGUGGGGAAUUUUCCGCAAUGGGCGAAAGCCUGACGGAGCAAUACCGCGUGAGGGAGGAAGGCUCUUGGGUUGUAAACCUCUUUUCUCAGGGAAGAACACUGACGGUACCUGAGGAAUCAGCAUCGGCUAACUCCGUGCCAGCAGCCGCGGUAAUACGGAGGAUGCAAGCGUUAUCCGGAAUUAUUGGGCGUAAAGCGUCUGUAGGUGGAUAUUCAAGUCUGCUGUCAAAGACCGUGGCUCAACCAUGGAAAGGCGGUGGAAACUGAAAGUCUAGAGUGCGGUAGGGGCAGAGGGAAUUCCCAGUGUAGCGGUGAAAUGCGUAGAGAUUGGGAAGAACACCCGUGGCGAAAGCGCUCUGCUGGGCCUGCACUGACACUAAGGGACGAAAGCUAGGGGAGCGAAUGGGAUUAGAUACCCUAGUAGUCC
Molecule: ribosomal RNA, 744 nt
Filed under: uncultured bacterium
Lineage: Bacteria
Description: bacterial SSU rRNA
Rfam family: Bacterial small subunit ribosomal RNA
Source: RNAcentral